ACCAGACUCCUACGGGAGGCAGCAGUGGGGAAUAUUGCACAAUGGGGGAAACCCUGAUGCAGCGACGCCGCGUGAGUGAAGAAGUAUCUCGGUAUGUAAAGCUCUAUCAGCAGGGAAGAAAAUGACGGUACCUGACUAAGAAGCCCCGGCUAACUACGUGCCAGCAGCCGCGGUAAUACGUAGGGGGCAAGCGUUAUUCGGAUUUACUGGGUGUAAAGGGAGCGUAGACGGCGCUGCAAGUCCGGAGUGAAAGUCCAUGGCUUAACCAUGGUACUGCUCUGGAAACUGCGUCGCUGGAGUACGGGAGGGGCAGGCGGAAUUCCUGGUGUAGCGGUGAAAUGCGUAGAUAUCAGGAGGAACACCGGCGGCGAAGGCGGCCUGCUGGACCGUGACUGACGUUGAGGCUCGAGAGCGUGGGGAGCAAACAGGAUUAGAUACCCGGGUA
Molecule: ribosomal RNA, 445 nt
Filed under: uncultured bacterium
Lineage: Bacteria
Description: bacterial SSU rRNA
Rfam family: Bacterial small subunit ribosomal RNA
Source: RNAcentral